RNAcentral lists this long non-coding RNA (224 nucleotides) under Olea europaea (common olive). Its description in RNAcentral is "long non-coding RNA (OEUR_LNC013479)". Lineage: Eukaryota; Viridiplantae; Streptophyta; Magnoliopsida; Lamiales; Oleaceae. The record is from RNAcentral.
CCAUAUGUUGCAUUUUAGCCCCUGAAAUCGAUUUUUAAUUCUUUCAAGUCAUUUUUCUUGCAUUUUCAAUCCUUUGACUUUUAAUUGCAUCCAAGUGAACCCCCAAUAUCUUUAAUCUUCAUUUUGUGAUCCGAAUCAACUAUUAGAAUGUUGCAACUUAGUCCUCAUACUUUGGAUUUUCUUCCUUUUUGGUUUUUUUUCGUUUCUUUUCUCUUGAAUUCCAC